GAUGAACCCUUUCGGCAUGCCUAAUACAUGCAAGUCGAACGAAGUCUUCAGGAAGCUUGCUUCCAAAAAGACUUAGUGGCGAACGGGUGAGUAACACGUAGGUAACCUGCCCAUGUGUCCGGGAUAACUGCUGGAAACGGUAGCUAAAACCGGAUAGGUAUACGGAGCGCAUGCUCUGUAUAUUAAAGCGCCCAUCAAGGCGUGAACAUGGAUGGACCUGCGGCGCAUUAGCUAGUUGGUGAGGUAACGGCCCACCAAGGCGAUGAUGCGUAGCCGGCCUGAGAGGGUAAACGGCCACAUUGGGACUGAGACACGGCCCAAACUCCUACGGGAGGCAGCAGUAGGGAAUUUUCGUCAAUGGGGGAAACCCUGAACGAGCAAUGCCGCGUGAGUGAAGAAGGUCUUCGGAUCGUAAAGCUCUGUUGUAAGUGAAGAACGGCUCAUAGAGGAAAUGCUAUGGGAGUGACGGUAGCUUACCAGAAAGCCACGGUUAACUACGUGCCAGCAGCCGCGGUAAUACGUAGGUGGCAAGCGUUAUCCGGAAUCAUUGGGCGUAAAGGGUGCGUAGGUGGCGUACUAAGUCUGUAGUAAAAGGCAAUGGCUCAACCAUUGUAAGCUAUGGAAACUGGUAUGCUGGAGUGCAGAAGAGGGCGAUGGAAUUCCAUGUGUAGCGGUAAAAUGCGUAGAUAUAUGGAGGAACACCAGUGGCGAAGGCGGUCGCCUGGUCUGUAACUGACACUGAGGCACGAAAGCGUGGGGAACAAAUAGGAUUAGAUACCCUAGUAGUCCCCCCCUCAAAAAGAGAACUAAGUGUUGGAGGAUUCCAGUGCUGCAGUAACGCCAAUAAUUAUCCGCCUGGGGAGAUGCCACGCAAAGUGGUGAAACUCAAAGGAAUUGACGGGGGCCCGCACAAGCGGUGGAGUAUGUGGUUUAAUUCGAAGCAACGCGAAGAACCUUACCAGGCCUUGACAUGGAAACAAAUACCCUAGAGAUAGGGGGAUAAUUAUGGAUC
This 1012-nucleotide ribosomal RNA is filed under the name uncultured bacterium. RNAcentral describes it as "bacterial SSU rRNA". It matches the Rfam family "Bacterial small subunit ribosomal RNA", at positions 28 to 1026 of the family's 1533-position model. The record is from RNAcentral.